GUUUACUACCAUACCACUCUGAACGUGCCCAUCUUGUCUGAUCUCAGAAGCUAAGCAAUAUCAAGCCUGGUUAGUACUUGGGUGGGAGAAAACAACUAAUGAAAUGGCAAGAGUAAAUC
Molecule: ribosomal RNA, 119 nt
Filed under: Prolemur simus (greater bamboo lemur)
Lineage: Eukaryota; Metazoa; Chordata; Mammalia; Primates; Lemuridae
Source: RNAcentral